RNAcentral lists this transfer RNA (78 nucleotides) under Gammaproteobacteria bacterium. RNAcentral's name for it is "tRNA-Glu". It matches the Rfam family "tRNA". From Rfam's summary of the family: Transfer RNA (tRNA) molecules are approximately 80 nucleotides in length. Their secondary structure includes four short double-helical elements and three loops (D, anti-codon, and T loops). Lineage: Bacteria; Pseudomonadati; Pseudomonadota; Gammaproteobacteria. The record is from RNAcentral. RNAcentral also lists the same sequence under 2 other names.
GCACCGGUAUGUAAAACGGGAAAGGCGGCCGGACCCUCGAUCCGGUGCGUGCGGGUUCGAGUCCCGCCCAGUGCGCCA